GGUGCGGCCGGCGGGCGGCGAUGGCGGCCGUACGGGGCCUGCGAGUGUCGGUGAAGGCGGAGGUCCCGGCGGGGCCGGCCUUGGGGCCCCCGUCGCCUGAAGCUGAGUCAGGUUUGGACCGCGGCGAGCCGGAGCCCAUGGAGGUGGAGGAGGGCGAGCUGGAGGUCGUGCCGGUUCGGCGCUCGCUAAAGGAACUGAUCCCGGACACAAGCAGAAGAUAUGAAAACAAGGCUGGCAGCUUCAUCACUGGAAUCGAUGUCACCUCCAAGGAAGCAAUUGAAAAGAAAGAACAGCGAGCUAAGCGCUUCCAUUUUCGCUCAGAAGUAAAUCUUGCCCAAAGAAAUGUAGCCUUGGACCGAGACAUGAUGAAGAAAGCAAUCCCCAAAGUGAGGCUGGAGACAAUCUACCUUUGCGGCGUAGAUGAGAUGAGCACCCAGGAUGUCUUUUCCUAUUUUAAAGAAUAUCCUCCGGCCCACAUUGAGUGGUUGGAUGAUACCUCCUGUAAUGUGGUUUGGUUGGAUGAAAUGACAGCCACACGAGCCCUUAUCAAUAUGAGUUCCCUGCCAGCCCUGGAUAAGAUAAGAAGCAGGGAUGCCAAUGAGGACAAGUCUGAGAAAAGUAAAAAAGACAAGCAGGAAGACAGUUCCGAUGACGACGAGGCUGAAGAAGGCGAAGUUGAAGAUGAGAACGCAAGUGAUGUAGAGUUGGACACGUUGUCUCAGGUAGAAGAAGAAUCUCUGCUAAGAAAUGAUCUUCGUCCAGCGAACAAACUUGCUAAAGGAAAUAGGUUAUUCAUGAGAUUUGCUACAAAAGAUGACAAAAAGGAACUUGGAGCAGCGAGAAGAAGUCAGUAUUACAUGAAAUAUGGGAAUCCAAAUUACGGAGGCAUGAAAGGAAUUCUUAGUAAUUCUUGGAAGCGAAGAUACCAUUCCCGUCGCAUUCAGCGGGAUGUGAUCAAGAAGAGAGCCCUGAUUGGGGACGACGUUGGCUUGACAUCCUAUGAACACCGACAUUCCGGACUAGUGAAUGUUCCUGAGGAACCCAUCGAGGAGGAGGAAGAGGAGGAGGAGGAAGAGGAGGACCAGGACAUGGAUGCUGAUGACAGGGUGGUGGUGGAGUACCACGAGGAGCUCCCAGCCCUCAAGCAGACCCGGGAGCGGAGCACGUCUAGGCGGUCCAGUGCCAGCGGCUCAGACUCGGAUGAAAUGGACUAUGAUCUCGAACUGAAAAUGAUUUCCACCCCUUCGCCAAAGAAGAGCAUGAAAAUGACGAUGUAUGCGGACGAAGUGGAAUCUCAGCUGAAAAAUAUCAGGAACUCCAUGAAGGCAGAUACUCUAUCUACAAGCAAUAUAAAAAACCGAAUUGGUAACAAAUUAACACCCGAGAAAUUUGCAGAUGUCCGACAUUUGUUAGAUGAAAAACGUCAACACACACGUCCACGGCCACCUGGCAGCAGUACUAAAACAGAUAUACGCCAGCGAUUAGGAAAAAGACCACAUUCUCCGGAAAAGGCUUUUAGUGGUAACCCAGUCGUUCGGAGAGAGCCCUUUUCUGAUGUACAUAGUAGGCUAGGUGUUCCCAGGCAAGAUGUUAAAGGCCUCUACUCUGAUACUCGGGAGAAGAAAUCAGGUAGUUUAUGGAAUCGCUUAGGAUCUGCACCCAAGACCAAAGAAAAGAACACGAAGAAAGUGGAUCACAGGGCGCCCGGCACAGAGGAAGAUGACUCCGAGCUGCAGAGGGCAUGGGGGGCUCUGAUUAAGGAGAAAGAACAGUCUCGCCAAAAGAAGAGCCGCUGUUACCAGCACCCUUUUCCCAAGAAAAGUCAAUUCCCAGGUGCUUAUUGGACAGCCUUCGAGGGGGAAGAUGAGGGAAGCUGCCAGCUCACCCUUCCAGGAUCCUAGUGUGGGGGCCGAAUCUCAUGGACCUGACCUCAGAGGUGCACCCGUGCCGCCCAGGCCAGUCCAGAGUAAAUGGUGCCUAAAAAGUGUUUGGCAAAUGAAUGAAUUGUGGGAACCCAACCCAGCUCUGGCACCUUUGUCUGCAGGCUAGUCUGCUUCUAGCGGAGACUACCACAUUCAAAAAAGAGGAAGGUUGUUCACAAGUGCAUAAAUCGUGCUUGCAUAAGAAAGAAUCUCAUUAAGUAGACCUCCGUGAAGUUCAAAUUUUGAUGAUCUGGCUAUAUCUGAGCUGAAGCUUACCUGGCUUUGUAAAGAAUUUGCUAGAGAGUCAUGUAGAUAAUCCAGAAUAUUUUUUAGAAAGCAUUCAUCUGCACCCAGGAGACCAAGAAAGGAAGCCGGCGGGUGGAUCAGAGGCCCCAAAGAGAGACUGCUGGGCCGAUUCUUAGCAUCUGAUCCAAUUGGUGAGGAAGUGACAGCAGCCCAAAGAAGACACAAAGAAACAACUCGUUCCUGGCAACAACUCUUUUGCCUAAAGUAGGCUUCCCACUGUCGCGCGGAGCAGUUUUAAAGUUACGGUGAAAUGCUAACAGGCAAUUUGGAUUAAAGUUAACAGCAAAUGACGGCUUCACAGGUUAAUUAAUUGCUGCACAAAUAAGUUGAUGUACAAGUAUUUGCUUUUAAAUCUUACACAAUAAGAAGUAAAUUAGAAGUCAAACCAUUUUUUCCUUUGAAGAACUAAAAGGACAGAAUGUCUUUGAUGAACUUGAGAACAGCAUACUGGCUUCAAGGCAGACUGUUGUUGUGUAGUCUGACCAAUAAUAAUGUAGAACUUUUCUUACAUGUUUAUAAAAUAAAUCUUAGAAGAAAAAUAAUACUGUAGCCUUUUUUAAAACAAUGAAAUUCUAUGAACGUUUCACAGAACUUGGAUGUUCCUGGGAGCGGUCAGGGAAAUGCUGGCUCAGAAGCUUAUUUCAAAUAGUGGUGAGGCAUUGCAGUGGGCUUUUGCUCUGCUAUAAAUACAACUCUAGGGUAUGGGUGGUCUUUAACCCACCAAAGUCAGCACCCGGCACCCGGGGUUCUUACCUGGUUUUGUUGGAGCAAUUCCAGAGGCCCCCUCUGGAUGACAGAGUCUUCAGUAGUUGAGAUUUUGUGUUACCUCAGACUGUGUCACCCCUGCCUCGGGACCGGUGUUGGUUAGAGCAAGGGACCACACCAUCGACAGGAGAGGUGAUGAGGCCUUCCCGUCCCUCCCUGGGGCUGUCAUGUGUUUAAUGCGUCACCUCUUAGUGGCAAGAGUUCGUCAGAGGGCCCGUGAGCAGGAGACGGCACUGUUUUGCUCAGGUAGAAUGUCUUUUGGGGGGGGGUCAAAUGGGGUGACGGCUGGGGCUGGGCCCGCAGCCUUGGGGACUCGUUCUAUCUCAUCUGCUGACUUGAAAAAAAAACCCAAACGAGUCCCUUCGCUUCUUGGGACCUCAGUGUCCCUGCCUGUCAGAUGAAGGGCUCAAGUGGGAUGACCUCCAGGUUUCCUUCUAGUGCUAAUGUCAGUUCUAGGAUCUUUGCUGAGGUUUCCCAAGGAGCAUCAGGAGUGUAAGUUGGACGGGAAGGAGUUGGGGGCAAGCAAGAGGCCUAAGCCCUUGCACCCUUGGUUCCAUGAGCCGGUGCAACACCCCCGCCCCAGCCCUCCGUUACGAAAGGAGAAGGAGAUCCUCUCCCUUGCUCCCUUCCCCGCUUGGCCCCCCUCCCCCAGUGCGCACACACACCAUUCUGUUUUACCUGGGAGAUUCUUUAGGAGGUAGCCCAGUGUCUUAAUCAUCGGCUCAGGCAGCUAUAACAAAAUACCAUGGACUGGGUGGCUUAAAUAACAGAAACUUAUUUUCUCACGGCCUAAAAGUAGAAGUCCAGGAUCAGGGUGCUAGUAGUUGGGUUCGCACGAGGCCUCUCUUCCUGGCUUGCAGACAGCAUCUCACUGUGUGCUCACAUGGCCU
Molecule: non-coding RNA, 3883 nt
Organism: Delphinapterus leucas (beluga whale)
Lineage: Eukaryota; Metazoa; Chordata; Mammalia; Artiodactyla; Monodontidae
Source: RefSeq, a predicted model, not a curated record